CUAACUCUAAUAGUUUAUAAAAACA
RNAcentral lists this transfer RNA (25 nucleotides) under Pellorneum malaccense (short-tailed babbler). RNAcentral describes it as "Trichastoma malaccense (short-tailed babbler) partial tRNA-Thr". The record is from RNAcentral. Lineage: Eukaryota; Metazoa; Chordata; Aves; Passeriformes; Pellorneidae.